This 508-nucleotide ribosomal RNA is filed under the name uncultured bacterium. RNAcentral's name for it is "partial 16S ribosomal RNA". It matches the Rfam family "Bacterial small subunit ribosomal RNA", at positions 28 to 507 of the family's 1533-position model. The record is from RNAcentral.
GACGAACGCUGGCGGCGUGCCUAAUACAUGCAAGUCGAACGCUUCUUUCCUCCCUAGUGCUUGCACUCAAUUGGAAAGAGGAGUGGCGGACGGGUGAGUAACACGUGGGUAACCUACCCAUCAGAGGGGGAUAACACUUGGAAACAGGUGCUAAUACCGCAUAACAGUUUAUGCCGCAUGGCAUAAGAGUGAAAGGCGCUUUCGGGUGUCGCUGAUGGAUGGACCCGCGGUGCAUUAGCUAGUUGGUGAGGUAACGGCUCACCAAGGCCACGAUGCAUAGCCGACCUGAGAGGGUGAUCGGCCACACUGGGACUGAGACACGGCCCAGACUCCUACGGGAGGCAGCAGUAGGGAAUCUUCGGCAAUGGACGAAAGUCUGACCGAGCAACGCCGCGUGAGUGAAGAAGGUUUUCGGAUCGUAAAACUCUGUUGUUAGAGAAGAACAAGGACGUUAGUAACUGAACGUCCCCUGACGGUAUCUAACCAGAAAGCCACGGCUAACUACGUG